Molecule: small RNA, 557 nt
Filed under: Pongo abelii (Sumatran orangutan)
Lineage: Eukaryota; Metazoa; Chordata; Mammalia; Primates; Hominidae
Description: processed transcript
Source: RNAcentral
CGAUGAGUCACUGCUUGAGGAGGGUGAACCGCUGGAGCCUGGGGAGCUCCAGCUGAACGAGCUGACUGUGGAGAGCGUGCAGCACACGCUGACCUCAGUGACAGAUGAGCUGGCUGUGGCCACCGAGAUGGUGUUCAGGCGGCAGGAGAUGGUUACGCAGCUGCAACAGGAGCUCCGGAAAGAAGAGGAGAACACCCACCCCCGGGGGCGGGUGCAGCUGCUGGGCAAGAGGCAGGUGCUGCAAGAAGCACUGCAGGGGCUGCAGGUAGCGCUCUGCGGCCAGGCCAAGCUGCAGGCCCAGCAGGAGUUGCUGCAGACCAAGCUGGAGCAGCUGGGCCCCGGUGAGCCCCCGCCUGUGCUGCUCCUGCAGGAUGACCGCCACUCCACGUCGUCCUCGCCUGGCCACCCGCUGACGUCUGUCCCUGGCCUCAGGAGCAGGAGCGAGAGGGGGGAAGGACGCCCACGCUGGAGAUCCUUAAGAGCCACAUCUCAGGAAUCUUCCGCCCCAAGUUCUCGCUCCCUCCACCACUGCAGCUAGUUCCGGAGGUGCAGAAGCC